AUGGCGCUCCCUCGCCACUCCCACCUCUUCCUGGUCACCGUCGUCCUGCUCCUCCUCUCCCGCCUGCCACGCUCUUCGCCGACGUACAUUGACGUCUCACCAUGCCCUUCUCCGGCGGCACGUACAUUGACGCCACGAUGGCUUCCACGGUCCACCGUCGGUUCUCCCUCCACUUCUCCGGCCUAUGAUCCACGGCCUUCGGAGCUCUAUGAUCCACGGCCACGUUUCCCGCCAAGAGGUCUCCCACGGUCUUCGUUGCUCUCCGAUGCACUCUCCCCGUCCGCUGCUCCGCCGCUGCGUUUCCUGCCACCGCCAUACGGCCUGCCACGGAGCUCGCCUUCCUCCUACAAAGCGGCGCCAAUGUUGCCGUCCACUCCGGCGCCACGGCUGACGCCGUCGUCGUCGCUGCCCGUCAACCCGUUCACGGCCAAGGCCGCCUUCGUCCGGUACUGGAACCGGAAGGUGCACGGCAGCCGCCUCCACCCGGCCUUCUUCUUCGCCAAGCUCUCCCCGCUCUCCGCGCCCGACGCCGUCGCCUUCUCCAACCUGGCGGCCGCCGGCCAGCUCGGCUCGCGCCUCCCCGCCUUCUGCACCGCCGCGUCCAUCCUCUGCCCCUCCACCUCCGGCGCCAUCUGGUCGGGCUCGGGGCCGUCCAAGGCCGGGGACGCGUCCGGUUCGCCCGCCACCAACUCCAGCGCGCCGUUCAAGAACUACGCCAACGGCAACUUCAGCAGCUACGGCAACAGCGGCGGCGGCGGCGCCGACGCGUUCGCGGUCUACUCGCGGGGCCAGGUCAACCCCGUCGACUCCUUCCACCGGUACGGCAAGGGCUCGCUUGGCCGGAACGACUCCUUCGCGACGUACCAGGCGCUGGGCAACGUCGGCACCGCCAGCUUCAACUCCUACACUGCCGGUGCCACCGGCGGCGCCGGUGAGUUCGCCGAGUACGACGGCGAGACCAACACGGUCGCCGUGACCUUCGCCAACUACGACGUCGCCGGAAACGGCCGCUCCCGCGAUUUCUCGGCGUACACGCAGGACGCCAACUCCGGCGUGGAGAGCUUCACCGGGUACGGCAAGACGGCCAACAGCGUCGGCGAGUCCUUCAAGUCCUACGGCAACCACACCAACUCGAUCAUGUCCGCCUUCAUCAACUACGGCGACAAGGCGAACAGCGCCACGGACACCUUCGACUCCUACGGACUCAACGGGAACACCCCACAGAACACCUUCCGGAGCUACUCCUCCGGCAGCAACGGCGGCGCCGACGACUUCAAGGGCUACAGGGACAACGCCAACGUCGGCGACGACAGCUUCACGUCCUACGCGAACGAUGCCAAUGGCGCCACCGCCGACUUCCAGAGCUACGGCAAGUCCGUGAACCCGGGGAGCGUGGGGUUCAAGGGGUACGGCCAGGGCGCCAACCCCAACCACCGCAUCGGCUUCACGCGCUACACCGGCGACAACACCACCUUCAAGGCCUACUCCAACGAGGGCGUCGAGUUCAAGGAGUACCAGAACAUGUCUAGGAUGGAGGUGUCCAAGGUGGCAGCCAACCUCUCCCUCUCUUCCUCCGGGAACCACCGGACGCCGCCCAAGUGGUCGCCGGAGCCGGGGAAGUUCUUCCGCGAGCGAGACCUCAUCACCGGGAACCGGAUGCCCAUGCCGGACAUCACCGACAAGAUGCCGCCACGGGCGUUUCUGCCGAGGGACAUCGCCGCCAAGAUCCCGUUUGAGGCGGGCGCCGUGUCGGCGCUGUUCGGGGCGCCGCCGGGCAACGCGAUGAGGCAGGUGGUGGCGUCGACGGUGGAGGAGUGCGCACGGCCACCCAGCCGGGGCGAGACCAAGCGCUGCGCGACGUCGGCCGAGGACAUGCUGGACUUCGCCGUGGAGAUGCUGGGCGACAACGUGGCUGUGCGCAGCACGGAGUCCGCGGCGGGCAGCGGCGGGGACAUCAAGGUCGGCAGGGUGGCGGGCGUGGCCGGUGGCCACACGACGCGGUCCGUGUCGUGCCACCAGAGCUUGUUCCCGUACCUGGUGUACUACUGCCACUCGGUGCCGAGCGUGCGGGUGUACGAGGCCGAGAUCCUGUCCGUCGACUCCGGGCGGAAGAUCAACCGUGGCGUGGCGAUCUGCCACCUCGACACGUCGGACUGGAGCCCGGGUCACGGCGCGUUCGCCGCGCUUGGCGGGAAGCCCGGUGAGAUGGAGGUGUGCCAUUGGAUCUUCCACGGGGACAUGGUUUGGACGGUGGCUGAUUGA
RNAcentral lists this ribosomal RNA (2262 nucleotides) under Triticum aestivum (bread wheat). RNAcentral describes it as "partial small subunit ribosomal RNA". Lineage: Eukaryota; Viridiplantae; Streptophyta; Magnoliopsida; Poales; Poaceae. The record is from RNAcentral.